This 527-nucleotide ribosomal RNA is filed under the name Pajaroellobacter abortibovis. Its description in RNAcentral is "bacterial LSU rRNA". It matches the Rfam family "Bacterial large subunit ribosomal RNA", at positions 1309 to 1804 of the family's 2925-position model. Lineage: Bacteria; Pseudomonadati; Myxococcota; Polyangiales; Polyangiaceae. The record is from RNAcentral.
GCGAUAAACCAGAUGAGAAAUCUGGUCGCCGUAAGCCCAAGGUUUCCUGGGGUAGGAUAAUCCGCCCAGGGUUAGUCGAUGCCUAAGCCGAGGCCGUAAGGCGUAGGUGAUGGAAAACAGGUUAAUAUUCCUGUACUAUCGAGGAAGACGAUGAAAUAAGCGGGGACAAAGAAGGAUAGGCCAAGCAUGGUGCAUGGAUCCAUGUUCAAGCCCGUAGGCUGUUUUGCUAGGACUCGAGAGAGACAAACGGCGAAACAAUAAGCUGAGAGGUGAUGAGGUUGAGCUUCGGCUCAAUAACUUGGUGAUUCCAAGCUUUCAAGAAAAGCCGCGUGUGGAGUCUCUUUGAUAAUCGUACUGUAAACCGACUCAGGUGGGCAGGAUGAGUAUUCUAAGGCGCGUGAGAGAACCCUGGUUAAGGAACUCGGCAAAUUGACACCGUAACUUCGGGAGAAGGUGUGCCUUUUUAUGUGAUGCAGCUUGCCUGCUAAGCGUGAGAAGGUUGCAGAGAAAUGGGAGUUGUGACUGUU